Molecule: long non-coding RNA, 1792 nt
Organism: Zonotrichia leucophrys gambelii
Lineage: Eukaryota; Metazoa; Chordata; Aves; Passeriformes; Passerellidae
Exons: 3
Source: RefSeq, a predicted model, not a curated record
AGAGCCUUGGAGGGGCUCUGAUGAAGAAGUAGGAAUGAUGCUGCUGUGAUGAGCUGUUUGUGAGACAACCACCCAGAAGAAGAGUUGUCUUAAAGCUGUCACAAGAAGAGGGAACUCCUCUAACAGAAAAGAUGGAUGUGAGCAUAGGAAAACACAGGUGAUGGUCUGGGAGCUCUAGGAGGAGCUGCAAAACACGGAAGACUCAGCCAUGAUUAUUCAGAUCCUAGCAUUUCCUAGCUUUGACAUAAGUGCCCUCCUCACGUUAUGCGCCAUUCCUCUGACUGCCCCUGAGUGCAAGAACAAUGCAGGAAAACGGGGUCAGUGCCUUUGUCUCCUCCAACUGCAGCUGCCAGCCCAGCCAAACCCAGCCCGCCAGACCCGGCUCAGCUGCUGCUCUGCUCCAACGCGGCCUCGGACUCUCCUCGGUCUCCCCUGCUGCUCUGGCAUCCUUGGUCCCUGAGCAUGGCACUUGCCGGCCUUUCCAGAAAUGCCGCGGCGGAGGUGCCACAGGCUCCCCUUUCCAGAAAUGCCGCGGCGGAGGUGCCACAGGCUCCCCUUUCCAGAAAUGCCGCGGCGGAGGUGCCACAGGCUCCCCUUUCCAGAAAUGCCGCGGCGGAGGUGCCACAGGCUCCCCUUUCCAGAAAUGCCGCGGCGGAGGUGCCGCAGGCUCCCAGGGCCCUCCGGCCCCGCGGCCAGGCCCUGGUCCUGCGCGGGCCUCCCACAGCGGCCGCGCCCGCCCGCGCCCCAGCCCGCAGCGCCGGGACAGCCGCUCUUCCCCUUCCGGGAAGGGAAAGCUGCCAGGCUCCCAGGUGAAGCUGCUGUCCCCCACAGAGUCCUCCUAGCCCUGGUCCCCGCCGCCGCUGGUGGCAGUGCCAGCGAUGUCAGGAGCGGCCCCUGCGCCACCGGCAGCUCCUGCUUUGACUGAUACAUAGGUUUUCUGCCUAUUAUACAUAUAUAUUGGUUUUCAGGGAGAAAAGCAUUUUUUGCUUUUAGCACGCUUAGGAGUUUAAAUAAAAACAAAUAUAUCUAUAUUGACUGUAGUUAUUAUGCUUGGUUUCAUACAGAGUAAGUGGUUCAAACAAAAAUAGAUUGGUUGGAGUGAAUGUGCAUCAGUUUCAAUAAUAACACAGGCAGCUUCAAGGAGCAUAUAAGUUUCAUUUAAUGUGCACUGGGCUUUCAAAGAAGAGGCAAGAAACAUUGGGUUAGAACAGCUUUUAGUCUACGUUUUCUGUCUAAAGGCUUCUACAUUGACCAAAUUUCUGAAAUAGAAUGGAAGUCCAUAAACAAGUGGAAAGAGAUGUUUGUUAGGAGGCCAGAGUGGUGUUACAGAGGGAGGAAGUGAUAUACAACAAAACAUGAUCUUGAGGUAGAAUUUCCCAACUACAGUAUCUCUUUAGUUAUUCCCCUAUGUGUGGGAUUAUUUCCCCCAGAAAGACUGGCCUUCAAACUGGAGCAAAAAAAACCCUUGGUGUUUUUUUGCAACAAAGGGUUGCAAGUUGUGAGAAAACUGCAGUAGCUGAGAGCCAGUUUUAAAAGGGAAAAUUGAGAAUGAACUGGGAGCUUAACAAUUUUCUUGGGUCUAGGCCACAUCCCUCAAGAAAUGCUACAGACAACUAGGAGAGGGGUGCCUUGGGCCGGAUUCAGACAGGCUUUCUGCCCCUGGUGUCAUGAAUCCAGGAGCUACUGCAGUCAUAACAGCUCCGGGUUAGAUAAACACAAAAGGAAAAGAGAUCUCUUUAAGAUAUCAGGUGUUCUUUCAAAAACAUCAGGGAAACAAUCUGAGGCAGUGAUU